Molecule: ribosomal RNA, 506 nt
Filed under: uncultured bacterium
Lineage: Bacteria
Description: bacterial SSU rRNA
Rfam family: Bacterial small subunit ribosomal RNA
Source: RNAcentral
AACGAACGCUGGCGGCAGGCCUAACACAUGCAAGUCGAACGCCCGUAGCAAUACGGGAGUGGCAGACGGGUGAGUAACGCGUGGGAACGUACCCUUUGGUUCGGAACAACUCCGGGAAACUGGAGCUAAUACCGGAUGAGCCCUACGGGGGAAAGAUUUAUCGCCGAAGGAUCGGCCCGCGUCGGAUUAGCUUGUUGGUGAGGUAACGGCUCACCAAGGCGACGAUCCGUAGCUGGUCUGAGAGGAUGAUCAGCCACACUGGGACUGAGACACGGCCCAGACUCCUACGGGAGGCAGCAGUGGGGAAUAUUGGACAAUGGGCGCAAGCCUGAUCCAGCCAUGCCGCGUGAGUGAUGAAGGCCUUAGGGUUGUAAAGCUCUUUCGCCAGGGACGAUAAUGACGGUACCUGGAUAAGAAGCCCCGGCUAACUUCGUGCCAGCAGCCGCGGUAAUACGAAGGGGGCUAGCGUUGUUCGGAAUCACUGGGCGUAAAGCGCAUGCAGGCGG